This 528-nucleotide long non-coding RNA is filed under the name Oryctolagus cuniculus (rabbit). Its description in RNAcentral is "lncRNA (ENSOCUG00000036256.1)". Lineage: Eukaryota; Metazoa; Chordata; Mammalia; Lagomorpha; Leporidae. The record is from RNAcentral.
AUGUGUAGAAGCAAAGGAUGGACGCUUGAUUCCAUCUAUUUUAUCUUUGAAUUAUCCAUCCAGGUAAAAUGUUGGACUCUGCACCAUUUCAUCAUUCAAAGAAUAUGGACCAAAAACGUACAGACUGUAACUGCAGCGUAUUUCAUAAAGCAAGCAGGUAUGCCUGACGGUUGGAACAAGAACUCCAUGGUGAUGGCAUGUGGAAUUCCAAACUACCCUGCUGUCCGGUCCAGGGCUGUAUGGGCAGAUCUCAGCAGAGGAAGCUUCAGUAAUGCUCCCAAACAAUACUCACAAGAAGAAUCCUCUUCAGAAUUGAAUGUUUGGAAUGGGAGGCAAAGGAGGCUGUCCUGGGUCUGUUUGGAGACGUGGGGAGGCGGGGCUCCGGUACGUGUGCAGCCUCCUCAUCCAGGCAGCUCUCCACUCCUCGCCAUCUCUUUGCUUCCUUUUUUAUUCCCAUUCUCCUCCCCAUCCCUGUUUCCUACAGAGUCACAUUCUCUUUCUUCUUAUUCAACCCUGCUUUCCGUAUAA